This 254-nucleotide ribosomal RNA is filed under the name uncultured bacterium. RNAcentral describes it as "partial 16S ribosomal RNA". It matches the Rfam family "Bacterial small subunit ribosomal RNA", at positions 524 to 776 of the family's 1533-position model. The record is from RNAcentral.
UACGGAGGGUGCAAGCGUUAUCCGGAUUCACUGGGUUUAAAGGGUGCGUAGGUGGGAAUGUAAGUCAGUGGUGAAAUCUCCGUGCUUAACAUGGAAACUGCCAUUGAUACUAUGUUUCUUGAAUUUUUCUGGAGGUCAGCGGAAUAUGUCAUGUAGCGGUGAAAUGCUUAGAUAUGACAUAGAACACCAAUUGCGAAGGCAGCUGACUACAGGGACAUUGACACUGAGGCACGAAAGCGUGGGGAUCAAACAGG